This 334-nucleotide unclassified non-coding RNA is filed under the name soil metagenome. Its description in RNAcentral is "partial contains 5.8S ribosomal RNA, internal transcribed spacer 2, and large subunit ribosomal RNA". The stretch from base 1 to 120 matches the Rfam family "5.8S ribosomal RNA", at positions 35 to 154 of the family's 154-position model. The record is from RNAcentral.
GAUGAAGAACGUAGCGAAAUGCGAUAAGUAAUGUGAAUUGCAGAAUUCAGUGAAUCAUCGAAUCUUUGAACGCACAUUGCGCCCAUUAGUAUUCUAGUGGGCAUGCCUGUUCGAGCGUCAUUUCAACCCUUAAGCCUAGCUUAGUAUUGGGAAUCGACUUUACUGUCGUUCCUCAAAUUCAACGGCGGAUUUAUAGCAAUCUCUGAACGUAGUAAUUUUUUUCCUCGUUUUUGAAUACUAUAAACCUCAGCCGCUAAACCCCCAAUUUUUCUAUGGUUGACCUCGGAUCAGGUAGGAAUACCCGCUGAACUUAAGCAUAUCAAUAAGCGGAGGA